Molecule: ribosomal RNA, 253 nt
Filed under: uncultured bacterium
Lineage: Bacteria
Description: partial 16S ribosomal RNA
Rfam family: Bacterial small subunit ribosomal RNA
Source: RNAcentral
UACGAAGGGGGCUAGCGUUGCUCGGAAUCACUGGGCGUAAAGCGCACGUAGGCGGACUCUUAAGUCGGUGGUGAAAUCCUGGAGCUCAACUCCAGAACUGCCUUCGAUACUGAGAGUCUCGAGUCCGAGAGAGGUGAGUGGAACUGCGAGUGUAGAGGUGAAAUUCGUAGAUAUUCGCAAGAACACCAGUGGCGAAGGCGGCUCACUGGCUCGGUACUGACGCUGAGGCACGAAAGCGUGGGGAGCAAACAGG